ACGUAGGGUGCAAGCGUUAAUCGGAAUUACUGGGCGUAAAGCGUGCGCAGGCGGUUUUGUAAGCCAGAUGUGAAAUCCCCGGGCUUAACCUGGGAAUGGCAUUUGGGACUGCAAGGCUGGAGUGUGGCAGAGGAGACUGGAAUUCCGUGUGUAGCGGUGAAAUGCGUAGAUAUACGGAGGAAUACCUGAGGCGAAGGCGGGUUGCUGGGCCAACACUGACGCUGAGGCGCGAAAGCCAGGGGAGCAAACGGGA
RNAcentral lists this ribosomal RNA (253 nucleotides) under uncultured prokaryote. Its description in RNAcentral is "partial 16S ribosomal RNA". It matches the Rfam family "Bacterial small subunit ribosomal RNA", at positions 525 to 777 of the family's 1533-position model. The record is from RNAcentral.